CCCUUAGAUGUCCUGGGCUGCACGCGCGCUACACUGAUGUGUCCAGUAAGCACCUAACCUCUUCCGAAAUGAACGGGUAACCUUUGCAAAGCACAUCGUGAUGGGGAUAGAUUAUUGCAAUUAUUAGUCUUGAACGAGGAAUUCCUAGUAAGCACAAGUCAUCAGCUUGUGUUGAUUACGUCCCUGCCCUUUGUACACACCGCCCGUCGCUCCUACCGAUUGAAUGUUCCGGUGAGCUCUUCGGACUGCGCGGUCUGCAGUUUCUGCGUUCCGUGCGGAAAGUUGCGCAAACCUUAACAUUUAGAGGAAGGAGAAGUCGUAACA
RNAcentral lists this ribosomal RNA (324 nucleotides) under uncultured eukaryote. Its description in RNAcentral is "partial 18S ribosomal RNA". It matches the Rfam family "Eukaryotic small subunit ribosomal RNA", at positions 1470 to 1796 of the family's 1831-position model. The record is from RNAcentral.